GUGAUUCUUGUCACGUUAGGCUCGAUCUGCUAUCGGAUUUCAGUAUAGCCCGGUAGGACUACUUUGCGCAUACGUGUAAAUCUCAUGAUGACGUAAUAACAGAUGCAUUUGAUUUGUGCAUUUCAAACGCGCGGAUGCAUUUGAUAAAUGUUUAUAACUUCUUAAUGUGUGAUUAUUAUUUUGUAAAAGUAAUAAUUAAUAAUAAUCUUGGAAAUAUAGAAAAAGACUAAUCAUUAAAGAAGAUAGUAAAUAUAAAUUAUCAAAUUCUUAUAAGAAGAAUUCUCGCAUUAAGAAGUAUCAAGGAACCUUAGAUAGUAAAUUCAGUAAACACACAUUAAAAAAUAUAACUUCCAAACAAUAUAAUAAUUCUUUAAAGAACUGUCUACAACAAAAUAAUAAAAAUAAAUAUAAUGGUAUUACCUGUAAUUUAACAAAUAAUAUGAUAGAGUAUGUGGAGUAUGAAAAUGAAUUAAAUAAGAAAUUAUUAGAACUUUAUACGAAAGAUGAAGAUUUUAUCAAAAAAUAUAUACAUAUAUCAUUAUAUAUAGCAACUGAGAAGAUUGAUUGUUCAAAUUUUGAAAAUACCGAUAAAAAAUAUCAACAAAUAAUUUUGCUAUGUAAGCAAGCAAUAUUGUGUUUGGUUGAACCAAGUGAAAAAGCUUAUGUACUUUGUACAAAUAAUUUGUCUGCUAUUAUACAAAAACAUUUAUCACAAGGAUGUAGAUACCAUUUUGAACCUUCAAGUGAUUCUACAGAGUACUAUAAUGCUUUAUUGGUUGUAAGUCAUUGGGCAAAACUUUUGGUAAAGCAUCAAAAUAUAACUAUGAUUAAUAUGAUUUGUGCUAUACUUGGUUGUGAAAUAAACAAAAUAUUAAUUUUAUCCUAUCCAGAAGAUGUUUUAUCGAAAAGAUGGUGAAUGAAGAAGCAGUAGAAAAUAAUAAAAAAACUCAACCUGUAUUCAAAAAUCCAUCCUUCCACCAACAAUUUCGGCCAAUAAGCAAUACUGGGAAGAAAAGAACUUGGAGAUCUCUUAAACAGGUUUUGGCUCAGGAACGUAGUUUACCAUGGCCUACUGAAGUAGUACAUUAUAGUGCUAUCAAUGCACCGCCAAGUUUUAAACCUGCAAAGAAGUAUUCUGAUAUAUCUGGUCUGCCUGUAAGUAGUAUACGAAAAAUAUUUUACUUUUGAUUUUUCAAUUAUGAAAUAUUUUAUCAGUUAAGUGCAUUAUUUAAAGAAUUAAUAUUUUAAAGAAUCCAGUUUCGUACAAUGUGUUAAUUAUAUUAUUAAGAUAAGAACACAGAUGUUAAUCACAUUUAUUUGCACAGGCACGGUAUACAGAUCCACAAACUAAGUUAUAUUAUGCAACUGCUGAAGAAUUUGCCACAGUUCGCAGUCUGCCAAUGGAUAUUACUGCCGGAUAUUUAGCAUUACGUGGUGCUUCUAGUAUCGUUGGUUAAGUAUUUUAAUU
Molecule: RNA transcript, 1468 nt
Organism: Vespa crabro (European hornet)
Lineage: Eukaryota; Metazoa; Arthropoda; Insecta; Hymenoptera; Vespidae
Gene name: INO80 complex subunit C
Exons: 7
Source: RefSeq, a predicted model, not a curated record